RNAcentral lists this unclassified non-coding RNA (350 nucleotides) under soil metagenome. RNAcentral describes it as "partial contains 5.8S ribosomal RNA, internal transcribed spacer 2, and large subunit ribosomal RNA". The stretch from base 1 to 120 matches the Rfam family "5.8S ribosomal RNA", at positions 35 to 154 of the family's 154-position model. The record is from RNAcentral.
GAUGAAGAACGCAGCGAAAUGCGAUAAGUAAUGUGAAUUGCAGAAUUCAGUGAAUCAUCGAAUCUUUGAACGCACAUUGCGCCCACCAGUAUUCUGGCGGGCAUGCCUGUCCGAGCGUCAUUUCAACCCUCGAACCCCUCCGGGGGGUCGGCGUUGGGGAUCGGCCCUUUACGGGGCCGGCCCCGAAAUACAGUGGCGGUCUCGCCGCAGCCUCUCCUGCGCAGUAGUUUGCACACUCGCAUCGGGAGCGCGGCGCGUCCACAGCCGUUAAACACCCCAAACUUCUGAAAUGUUGACCUCGGAUCAGGUAGGAAUACCCGCUGAACUUAAGCAUAUCAAUAAGCGGAGGA